GUGAGGAAUUUUGCGCAAUGGGCGAAAGCCUGACGCAGCGACGCCGCGUGGAGGACGAAGGUCUUCGGAUCGUAAACUCCUGUCAAGAGGGACGAAUGCAACACGGGCUAACAUCUCGUGGAGCUGACGGUACCUCUGGAGGAAGCCCCGGCUAACUCCGUGCCAGCAGCCGCGGUAAUACGGAGGGGGCCAGCGUUGUUCGGAAUCAUUGGGCGUAAAGGGCGCGUAGGCGGCCAAGCAAGUCGGAGGUGAAAUCCCUCGGCUCAACCGGGGAACUGCCUCCGAAACUGCUUGGCUUGAGUCCCGGAGAGGAUAGCGGAAUUCCCAGUGUAGCGGUGAAAUGCGUAGAUACUGGGAGGAACAUCGGUGGCGAAGGCGGCUAUCUGGACGGGCACUGACGCUGAGGCGCGAAAGCUAGGGGAGCAAACAGGAUUAGAAACCCGAGUAGUCC
This 451-nucleotide ribosomal RNA is filed under the name uncultured bacterium. RNAcentral describes it as "bacterial SSU rRNA". It matches the Rfam family "Bacterial small subunit ribosomal RNA", at positions 354 to 796 of the family's 1533-position model. The record is from RNAcentral.